This 82-nucleotide transfer RNA is filed under the name Echinostoma caproni. It matches the Rfam family "tRNA". From Rfam's summary of the family: Transfer RNA (tRNA) molecules are approximately 80 nucleotides in length. Their secondary structure includes four short double-helical elements and three loops (D, anti-codon, and T loops). The record is from Rfam by way of RNAcentral. Lineage: Eukaryota; Metazoa; Platyhelminthes; Trematoda; Plagiorchiida; Echinostomatidae.
GCCCUCAUAGCUUAGUUGGUAGAGCGUGCGCGUACAAAGCGUAGGCGGUGUCCAUGCGUGGCUUCAAAUCCCACUGAGGCUA